GGGGCAAGGUGGUGCUGGUGCUGGAGGUGUGGCCAGGCCUGUACACACACCUCACCUCCCAGCUGAUGGCCCUGGCGCGGGGCAAGGUGGUGCUGGUGCUGGAGGUGUGGCCAGGCCUGUACACACACUUCACCUCCCAGCUGAUGGCCCUGGCGCGGGGCAAGGUGGUGCUGGUGCUGGAGGUGACCAGUCUGACCUCACCCAAACAUAGUGGCAGGAACUGAGCACCACACAUCCACACACUGGGUGGGAGCUGCCUGCCGUGCAGGCCAAGAGUGCCGCCCACACCCUCAGUGCCUUGCUGGGCCACCACUGCCCCCCUGCUGGACCCCCCUGCAGCCAUCACCAAGCCUUCAGGAGACACUGCUGAGCCUGGUGUACGUCCAGCGGGCACACUGGCGCUGCUUCCAGUACCAGGGGUCCUUAUGCCAGCAGGAGGUGUGGGGCGAGGCUGACCCCAGCACCUUCACCCCGAGCCUCUCCUUCCAAGGCCUGGUGGGUGUCUGGCCCUUAUGCCUACAGACCAGACACCAUGCAGCUCCUGACACCAUAGACACAGCAGCUCAGGGAGAGGAUUGAUGAGAAACUGCUGCAGCUGAGGAGGGAAGAGGCCGUGGUGCUGAGUGAGUCUCCGAGGCUGUGUCUGGUGUGUGACGAGCAGGUGGAGCAACACGCAGCCUUACGGAAGGGUAAGUGCACUACACACUAAGGUGUUUUUUCAUUCACAGACAAAACAUAAUGAAGAUAGUCUAAGUACUCUGAUGUACCUGAGGCAGCUCUUGGUACCUCCCAGGACUUUCUCUGCCUCUGUGGUGGAUAGUGGAGUGUUUCCCAUGUGGUAUUAGUGUGCUGGAUAUCCCUUCACUGGUAGCCUGGUAACAUACACUCCCAGGUC
Long non-coding RNA from Eriocheir sinensis (Chinese mitten crab), 895 nucleotides. RefSeq lists it as uncharacterized. The transcript is spliced from 4 exons. NCBI's taxonomy places the organism in Eukaryota, Metazoa, Arthropoda, Malacostraca, Decapoda, Varunidae. The record is from RefSeq and is a predicted model, not a curated record.